CUUCUGCUACGGAGAAACGAUCAAUCGAUCGAUGAAGCUGAAAUGGUAAUGGGGCGAACGAAGCAUCCUCGAGGAGGAGGCGGAGAUUCCCAGGCUAUCGACUUCCAAUGCUCCGUGUCGGCUUCUCUGCAGGGGAACCACGACGAUCUUGCCUUUUCCUCCUCCAAUAACUCGUUUCCGGUUCCUUUUCUGGUGCAGAUCGAGGAGGCGUUGGCGGUGUCGAGCACGACUCCCACGCUAUGCACUUCCGAGGUUGGAGAAUUCUUCUUCCCCUAAUCACUCCUUGUAGGCUCGGCAUGACGAUCUUGCCUUUUUCUCUUACACCAAUUCCUUUCCGACGGUUCCUUUUCCGGUACAGAUCAAGAGGAGACGGUCCGGGAGCACGCCCGGUAGAGUAACCUUCUUCUAAUCCAUCCGUUCUUGAACCCAUUUUCCUCGUCCCUUUCCCAAAAUACUGUUCGUUUUCUUGUUGACAGCUGUUUCUUGCAGUGUGUUUGUCGUCGGCUCCUGGUCCACUCCAUCUUCCACCAAACUUGGUAUCCGUGGGGAACUGGUAACGACAUGUUAAAUGCUGCUAAAGAAUAUUGGUCUCUUUUCCUAAUAGCUUAAGGUUUUAGGAUUUGUGGCUAUCCAAUUAAUACUUUAAGAUAGUAUAUUGGGCUCAUGAGAUGGAUAGGAGCUCAUGAGAUGUGAUAUUAAAGUACAUAUUGGGCUCUAUUGGGGAUGUUGAAGCGUAUAUUGGGUUCUAUUCUACCUGCUUACAGGAAUGAUCCAGGGGGACAUCAGUAAAUAGAAGCAUCACAAGCCGCAGGUGGAUUGGAGGAUCUCAUGCCAUACAUGAGCCUGACUUUAUUACAUCCUGGUUAACCCUCAAAAGGUUCGAGUGAUGUUGCUUUCUUUGAGGUUCACCAAUUGUAAUGAGAGAAAAAGAUAGGAGUCUUAUCACCUUGGAAUAUGGAAUCUUGGACAGAGGCCACACAGUAUGAGAGAGGGAGAGAGAGGAGAUUCCAAGUGGCUGAGUGCGCCAGGAAUGUGUGCGGCAAAACCUGUUGUCAUCACCUGAUGUAGCAGAAGUGCAGAAGACAAGGAGCCUAUCGGUUGGCUUGCCUGUGAAGGAGAAGGAUGAACAACUGUUAUUGGGUCCACUAUCAAAAAGCUUAGAUCCACAACACAGAGAGAGAGAGAGAGAGAGAGAGAGAGAGAGAGAGAGAUGGUUGUGUUAAUUUUUCUCUCUGCAAAUUAUUGUGUACUCUUAUCAUUCUUAUAGAUUAGGAAAAUAAACAUCGACUAAGUAGUUGAUUUUUACCAUUGAAUUCAAGAGGGUGGUAAAGUUUCCACGAUCCUUCUCCAUCCACCUCUUGGAGGUUCAUUGAACCCAGACUAUUUUUGAUAUAAAUCCAUGGAAUUCAAGAGGGUGGU
This is an RNA transcript of Musa acuminata AAA Group (dessert banana), 1419 nucleotides long. RefSeq lists it as uncharacterized. Lineage: Eukaryota; Viridiplantae; Streptophyta; Magnoliopsida; Zingiberales; Musaceae. The transcript is spliced from 3 exons. The record is from RefSeq and is a predicted model, not a curated record.